Molecule: long non-coding RNA, 1201 nt
Organism: Raphanus sativus (radish)
Lineage: Eukaryota; Viridiplantae; Streptophyta; Magnoliopsida; Brassicales; Brassicaceae
Exons: 3
Source: RefSeq, a predicted model, not a curated record
GACAGAGUCGUCUUCUCGAUUACCAUAAUUCCCUGUCAAAAAGAUAAGUAACGCACGCGAGAAGCAUUAAGAAGCCGCCAUUAAACUCAACAUUCAUUCUCUGUAAUCUGAGAUCCCACUACAUCUCAUUUACUUCCCCACCACCACCUUCUUUAGUUUCUUUGCAAUCUAUAUCCUAAAAAUAAGCGUUCCAUGAUUCUCACAUAUUCAUCACAGUCAUCCUUUCCAGAGAAGGUCACAAACCUCAGCCAACCAUGGACACCUCUCAGCUAUAACUAAGAGAAUUGAAGCCAGAACGUUGCAGUAAAUCGUAGUCACUGGCCUUCUUCGGUUUUGCAAAGCUCUGAUGUGAAGAAGCGUUGAAGUUAUGGGCGUCAACAUGUUGCUUUUGGAUGAUAAGAGUCUGAAGCAUUUAGGAAAGUGAAGAGUGAUCCAAAUUACACAAAGUCAUGGUAGGUGCAGAGAUCUACCUAGCUUAAAAACAUAGGAAGGGGCACGUUAAAAGUAUGUCUUUCUUUAAUUUUGAAACCUUGGUUAUAUUGACAGAUUAAAAAAUAGGUAGGUAGAUCCUAAUUUGCUUCUCUUACCUAUACAACUCAAUUUGACGGACUUUGAUGGACAUAGGUUUCUAUCACAGUGGACUCACGACAAAAGACACUAAUGAUCUGUGGAUUCAAGCUGACUUUGAUGGGAACAGUCUAAAACAAUUUUAAUUAACAAAGAGUUGGAAAUCAUACCCCGUAUGAACAGAGAAAUGCUGACGACAGAGAAGCAAAUGGUAACCAAGAACAAACGGUUGGUUUCAGUGUCAAGAACACAACAUUUUUUCCUUCUGAAGUGGAGGAAUGAGUGUAGCUAGAAACUUACUCUCUCUCAGAUCAAGCGAGGCUUACAAUUUUAUUCACUCCCAUAAGAAUGCCUUGCUCCGGUGCUCCCAAUUGGUUUCAUGACAAAACCCUGUAACAACAAACCUUUCUCUCCUUUAGGUUUAUGUCCCCCCCCCCCCCCCUCCUCAUAUUAUAGGUUAGUAUCAACGCUUUGCCUCCAUAGGCCAAAAAAAAUACUGCCAACACCCUGGUUGCUCUCCCCGUUGUGGUUUGUGCGUUGGGUGAAGAAGAGAGAAAAGGAUAUUACACGCUGGUCUUAAUCUUAUACAUUAUACUCUGUUCAAAUACUCUGUUCGAAUAUGUUAAUCAAAUGU